This 392-nucleotide long non-coding RNA is filed under the name Homo sapiens (human). Its description in RNAcentral is "long independently transcribed non-coding RNA 2025 (LINC02025)". The record is from RNAcentral. Lineage: Eukaryota; Metazoa; Chordata; Mammalia; Primates; Hominidae.
AGUUAUUUCAGGAAGUGGCAGCUUGUUCCCUCCAUUGUGAACUCAUUGUUGGUUGGUUGGUGUUGGUUUACAUCUUGAAAUCAGUAAAUAAUCCUUGGGCUGAAACUUAUGAUCUUUGAGAAAUGAAUUUCAAAAACCAGAUGAGUUUUGCUGGGUGUUUCAAGAUGGCCAAACAGGAACAGCUCCAGUCUACAGCUCCCAGCGUGAUCAAUGCAGAAGAAAGAUUAUCCUCGAUACUUGGAUAAUGUCCAUAUAUGGUGCUGAUUUUGGCCAUGUAACUUUAUUUUAUGUUAUGGUGAGUAGAUUAAAUCUCUGAAAUUUUAGGCUUUGUCAUGUCACUUGCUUUAAUCAAAUAAAUAUUUACUGGUGUGACACAAGCAAACACCUGAAGC